This 484-nucleotide ribosomal RNA is filed under the name uncultured bacterium. RNAcentral's name for it is "partial 16S ribosomal RNA". It matches the Rfam family "Bacterial small subunit ribosomal RNA", at positions 28 to 507 of the family's 1533-position model. The record is from RNAcentral.
GUUGAACGCUGGCGGCAGGCCUAACACAUGCAAGUCGAGCGGAUAAAGGGAGCUUUCUCCUGGCUUCAGCGGCGGACGGGUGAGUAAUGCCUAGGAAUCUGCCUGGUAGUGGGGGAUAACGUCCGGAAACGGGCGCUAAUACCGCAUACGUCCUGAGGGAGAAAGUGGGGGAUCUUCGGACCUCACGCUAUCAGAUGAGCCUAGGUCGGAUUAGCUAGUUGGUGAGGUAAAGGCCUACCAAGGCGACGAUCCGUAACUGGUCUGAGAGGAUGAUCAGUCACACUGGAACUGAGACACGGUCCAGACUCCUACGGGAGGCAGCAGUGGGGAAUAUUGGACAAAGGGCGAAAGCCUGAUCCAGCCAUGCCGCGUGUGUGAAGAAGGUCUUCGGAUUGUAAAGCACUUUAAGUUGGGAGGAAGGACAGUAAGUUAAUACCUGGAUGUUUUGACGUUACCAAAAGAAUAAGCACCGGCUAACUACGUG